UACGGAGGAUGCAAGCGUUAUCCGGAUUUAUUGGGUUUAAAGGGUGCGUAGGCUGUCUGUCAAGUCAGGGGUGAAAUGCCACAGCUUAACUGUGGAACUGCCUUUGAUACUGGCAGGCUGGAAUACGGAUGCCGUGGGAGGAAUGAGUAGUGUAGCGGUGAAAUACAUAGAUAUUACUCAGAACACCGAUUGCGUAGGCAUCUCACGAAUCCGUCAUUGACGCUGAGGCACGAAAGCGUGGGGAUCAAAC
RNAcentral lists this ribosomal RNA (250 nucleotides) under uncultured prokaryote. RNAcentral describes it as "partial 16S ribosomal RNA". It matches the Rfam family "Bacterial small subunit ribosomal RNA", at positions 524 to 773 of the family's 1533-position model. The record is from RNAcentral.